This 109-nucleotide ribosomal RNA is filed under the name Nasonia vitripennis (jewel wasp). The record is from RNAcentral. Lineage: Eukaryota; Metazoa; Arthropoda; Insecta; Hymenoptera; Pteromalidae.
GCCAACAGCCAUACUACGCUGAAUGCACCGGUUCUCAUCCGAUCACCGAAGUUAAGCAGCGUUAGGCGCGGUUAGUACUUGGAUGGGUGACCAAAAACUACAAAGCGCA